CCUACGGGAGGCUGCAGUGGGGAAUAUUGCACAAUGGGGGGAACCCUGAUGCAGCGACGCCGCGUGAGUGAAGAAGUAUUUCGGUAUGUAAAGCUCUAUCAGCAGGGAAGAAAAUGACGGUACCUGACUAAGAAGCCCCGGCUAACUACGUGCCAGCAGCCGCGGUAAUACGUAGGGGGCAAGCGUUAUCCGGAUUUACUGGGUGGAAAGGGAGCGCAGACGGCUGUGCAAGUCUGGAGUGAAAGGCGGGGGCCCAACCCCGGACUGCUCUGGAAACUGUAAAGCUGGAGUGCAGGAGAGGUAAGCGGAAUUCCUAGUGUAGCGGUGAAAUGCGUAGAUAUUAGGAGGAACACCAGUGGCGAAGGCGGCUUACUGGACUGCAACUGAUGUUGAGGCUCGAAAGCGUGGGGAGCAAACAGGAUUAGAUACCCUUGUAGUC
This 439-nucleotide ribosomal RNA is filed under the name uncultured bacterium. Its description in RNAcentral is "partial 16S ribosomal RNA". It matches the Rfam family "Bacterial small subunit ribosomal RNA", at positions 338 to 795 of the family's 1533-position model. The record is from RNAcentral.